AUGUCUGCAGAUAAACUCGACAGACACGAAGAGAAAACUCCAUUGACAGGAACCGCAUCCAAUCUCAAAACUAAUGGGGGAGACGAAUCGGAGCUGCGAAAAAGGAUUCCAGCAGCUACAAAGUGUUUCUUCUUCACCUAUGCAUUCCAAAUUAAUCAAUCAAAUUAAUCGGAGUUGUUCAUCGAACCUGUUCAACCACGUCACCACCAUUGACUUUCAAGUAUUGUGGUUACGGUAAAUUAGAUUCCUUUUCUCAGAUCUAAAUUUCAACGGGUUGAAUCCCUAAAGAAGAUUGUUACCACCAUUGACAUUUAAAUCCUCGGAAAAAAAUAUCUAAUUUUAAAAAUUUUGAGGUUGGACUGAGCUGCUUCAAGCUAUUAGGAUUCAUUUGCUCAUGCUAGUCAAAGUACCAAGCUGAAAUCUUCAAGUGGAAAUUAGAGGUACGACUAAAACUCUGCAAAUCUAUACUAACACCCUAGUCUUUAUACUCUUUUCCUUAAUGGAUUGAACCCACAUAGGUUAAUACCACCAUGUUAAGUGAAGAGAGUCAAAACUAGAGUGAAUUAGUAAGAUCUGUGACAUAAGUGUAUAAAUACUAAACGAAAUAUUAAAACAUCUCCUACUAUUGACUUGUGAGUCUUGGUUUCAUACCAUAUGUAACACGUCAAAG
Molecule: long non-coding RNA, 670 nt
Filed under: Capsicum annuum
Lineage: Eukaryota; Viridiplantae; Streptophyta; Magnoliopsida; Solanales; Solanaceae
Description: long non-coding RNA (CANN_LNC021275)
Source: RNAcentral